Molecule: ribosomal RNA, 253 nt
Filed under: uncultured bacterium
Lineage: Bacteria
Description: partial 16S ribosomal RNA
Rfam family: Bacterial small subunit ribosomal RNA
Source: RNAcentral
UACGUAGGGCGCAAGCGUUGUCCGGAAUUAUUGGGCGUAAAGCGCACGUAGGCGGCUUAGCAAGUUGGAUGUGAAAUCCCUCGGCUCAACCAAGGAAGUGCAUCCAAAACUGCUGAGCUUGAGUACUUAAGAGGAUCGCGGAAUUCCCGGUGUAGAGGUGAAAUUCGUAGAUAUCGGGAGGAACACCAGUGGCGAAGGCGGCGAUCUGGGAAGAUACUGACGCUGAGGUGCGAAAGCGUGGGGAGCAAACAGG